RNAcentral lists this ribosomal RNA (251 nucleotides) under uncultured bacterium. RNAcentral describes it as "partial 16S ribosomal RNA". It matches the Rfam family "Bacterial small subunit ribosomal RNA", at positions 524 to 769 of the family's 1533-position model. The record is from RNAcentral.
UACGUAGGGGGGCGAGCGUUUGUCCGGAAUCAUUGGGCGUAAAGAGCUCGUAGGCGGUUCAGUAAGUCAGGUGUGAAAGCUCCGAGCUCAACUCGGAGAGGCCACCUGAUACUGCUGUGACUAGAAUCCAGUAGGGGGAGUGUGGAACUCCUGGUGUAGCGGUGAAAUGCGCAGAUAUCAGGAAGAACACCAGCGGCGAAGGCGGCACUCUGGGCUGGAAUUGACGCUGAGGAAGCGAAAGUGUGGGUAGC